UAAUUUUCCCCACAAAGGGGAUGGGAGAAAAUCAUGGAGUUUACUGUUUAGGGCCUUUUCCUUUUACUGGCAAAUGGGAGCCACCCUGUGAUCGAUCGGGAAACUGAUUCGUCUGGAAGGCCCUUCACCAUAUUCUCACUCGAUCGAUCCAUUCCGACCGUCAAUGGCGGAUUCCGGCAAAUGAUAGGUCCAAUUCUGUCAAACUGCCAUCUUUCAUCCCAAUUCAAUCCUGGGUUAUUUUCCCUUGUAUGAGUCCAAGCGCAAAACAAAACCCGAUCUUCUUACUCAGUUACUCCUCGCGAGCCGAUGAGCUCCGCGGAUCCCCCCAGCGGAGUUCUUCCAUCCGAUGUCAUCCUCCUAAUCCUCGCGAGACUCCCUGUUAAGUCUCUUUUCCGCUUCAAAACCGUUUGUAGAUCAUGGUACAGGCUCACUUCAGAGAAGCACUUCAUCAUGCUAUACUCGUUGACCUCCUUGCAUAAGCCCAUCGUACUCUUGGAAGUGAUGGAGCCUGCGAAUCCCAUCCCCAGUUUUCUCAGCGUCGACAGAUUCGAUGCCGCUUCGUGCUUCUCGUUGAAUUUCUUGGAAGAUAGAGUCAAGGUGAGAGCUUCAUGCAAUGGCCUCUUGUGCUGCUCAAGUAUUCCCAACCGAGGAGUCUUCUAUGUCUGCAAUCCGAUGACAAAAGAAUUCAGGUUGCUACCAAGAACCAGAGAAAGGCCCUUUUCACGGUUCCACCCUGACUACGAGGAGACCCUCGUAGGGUUGUCUUUUGAUACAUGUUCAUGGAAGUUCAAUGUAGCCGUUGCGGGAUUUUGCAGGCCAUUUGGCCGGAGGCCGUAUGAGGAACUUGUUUGUAUGGUGUUUGACUCAGAGACUAACUCCUGGACUAGGUUUGUUUCAUCUUUUUAUGAUGAAUUUACCCACAUGAAUAGAAAUCAAGUUGUUUUCUCCAACAAUUCACUGCAUUGGCUUACACACAGCUGCUCUUAUGUGCUCGUGCUUGAUUUGAGGAGUAAUGUUUGGAGGAAGAUUUCAUUGCCUGAGGAGAUAGUGGCUGUUGGGUUUUGCGGGAGGAUUUAUCUUCUGGAAUUGGAGGGCACUGUCUCUUUGAUUCAGAUAUUAGGUGUGUGGUUGUAUAUAUGGGCUCUGAAGGACUAUGACAGAGAGCAUUGGGUUCUGAUUGAUAGAGUGCAUCUCAGGUGCAUCUUGGGGUUUGCGGCAAGUGCUUUUCCUGUAUGCUUAAGUAGUGAUGUAGUGUUCUUAGCCACACAAAGGAAAAUUUUGACAUAUGGUAGAAAGAAUAAGGUGUGGAAGGAGGUUUUUUCUGUUGGAGACAAUGUAGCUUAUCCUUUGUGGUUCUCAGCACAUCCUUUCAGAAGCACUCUAUUUCCUUGUGACCAAGGUGUGCAGUUCUAAUUCAGUGCUUUUUAUAGCCGUUGCUUUUCAAAAACCUGUCAUACCCCCUUUAUUUUUGUGGGAGAAGCUCAACAGAAAUCCAUACACUGGAAACAAUGUAACAUAUGCCUUGUGGCUUUCAGCACAUCCUUUUAUGAACACUUUAUUUCCCUUGUUGCACUCUCUUCUUAGCUUGGCACAAUGGAAAAUACACUUGGUAGCAAGUGCGCCCAUAUCUUUCAGAGUACCUGUCAUUUUCCUUUGUACAGCACAACAAAUCAUGGCCAAAUGAAGACUUAGUGUUGGACUUUCGCAAGCGUUUUCAUGAAUGGCACUGUGACCUAUUUGUUCAAAAAUAAUACUUGUAGAUGUGUACCCGAGGCUAUUGUGCUUUGUCACUUCGCUGAAUGCUACAUCAUAGAUGAUUUCUGAAGAUGUGAGUGUGUUUUGUUUAUUUGAGUGGUUGGGGCCCAAAGCAGAUGGAAAGGAUCGAUUAAUUUGCCAUUGUGAACAAUAUCUCCUUUUGCAGAGGUAUUGUUGUUGUACACUAUAAACCUCUUAUUGCUUAUUUUUUCCAUUCUUCCUUAAAUGUCUUUUUGGCAUAAUUGUUGAUUUUCAAUCUAUUAUUUGAAAGAGAAA
This is an RNA transcript of Dendrobium catenatum, 2031 nucleotides long. It is a transcript of the gene named F-box protein At5g49610, with no coding region annotated. NCBI's taxonomy places the organism in Eukaryota, Viridiplantae, Streptophyta, Magnoliopsida, Asparagales, Orchidaceae. The transcript is spliced from 2 exons. The record is from RefSeq and is a predicted model, not a curated record.